GACGAACGCUGGCGGCGUGCUUAACACAUGCAAGUCGAACGCUGAAGCUCAGCUUUUGUUGGGUGGAUGAGUGGCGAACGGGCGAGUAACACGUGAGUAACCUGCCUCCUUCUUUGGGAUAACGCCCGGAAACGGGUGCUAAUACUGGAUAUUCACUGGUCUUCGCAUGGGGGUUGGUGGAAAGGGUUUUUCUGGUGGGGGAUGGGCUCGCGGCCUAUCAGCUUGUUGGUGGGGUGAUGGCCUACCAAGGCUUUGACGGGUAGCCGGCCUGAGAGGGUGACCGGUCACAUUGGGACUGAGAUACGGCCCAGACUCCUACGGGAGGCAGCAGUGGGGAAUAUUGCACAAUGGGCGCAAGCCUGAUGCAGCGACGCCGCGUGAGGGAUGGAGGCCUUCGGGUUGUGAACCUCUUUCGCUCAUGGUCAAGCCGCAACAAUGGUUGUGGUGAGGGUAGUGGGUAAAGAAGCGCCGGCUAACUACGUG
RNAcentral lists this ribosomal RNA (483 nucleotides) under uncultured bacterium. RNAcentral describes it as "partial 16S ribosomal RNA". It matches the Rfam family "Bacterial small subunit ribosomal RNA", at positions 28 to 507 of the family's 1533-position model. The record is from RNAcentral.